Molecule: ribosomal RNA, 410 nt
Filed under: uncultured bacterium
Lineage: Bacteria
Description: bacterial SSU rRNA
Rfam family: Bacterial small subunit ribosomal RNA
Source: RNAcentral
AUUAAUUCGAUGCAACGCGAAAAACCUUACCUACCCUUGACAUGGUCGGAAUCCUGGAGAGAUCUGGGAGUGCUCGAAAGAGAACCGGCGCACAGGUGCUGCAUGGCUGUUGUCAGCUCGUGUCGUGAGAUGUCGGGUUAAGUCCCGCAACGAGCGCAACCCUUGUCAUUAGUUGCUACGAAAGGGCACUCUAAUGAGACUGCCGGUGACAAACCGGAGGAAGGUGGGGAUGACGUCAAGUCCUCAUGGCCCUUAUGGGUAGGGCUUCACACGUCAUACAAUGGUACAUACAGAGGGCUGCCAACCCGCGAGGGGGAGCUAAUCCCAGAAAGUGUAUCGUAGUCCGGAUUGUAGUCUGCAACUCGACUACAUGAAGUUGGAAUCGCUAGUAAUCGCGGAUCAGCAUGUCG